UACAGAGGGUGCAAGCGUUGUUCGGAAUUAUUGGGCGUAAAGCGCGUGUAGGCGGCUUUGCAAGUCGGGUGUGAAAGCCCUCAGCUCAACUGAGGAAGUGCGCCCGAAACUGCUUUGCUUGAGUGCCGGAGAGGAUGGCGGAAUUCCCCAAGUAGAGGUGAAAUUCGUAGAUAUGGGGAGGAACACCGGUGGCGAAGGCGGCCAUCUGGACGGUAACUGACGCUGAGACGCGAAAGCGUGGGUAGCAAACAGG
RNAcentral lists this ribosomal RNA (253 nucleotides) under uncultured bacterium. RNAcentral's name for it is "partial 16S ribosomal RNA". It matches the Rfam family "Bacterial small subunit ribosomal RNA", at positions 524 to 776 of the family's 1533-position model. The record is from RNAcentral.